UACGGAGGGUGCAAGCGUUAUUCGGAAUUACUGGGCGUAAAGCGCACGCAGGCGGUGAUUUAAGUCAGAUGUGAAAGCCCCGAGCUUAACUUGGGAAUUGCAUCUGAAACUGGUUGGCUAGAGUCUUGUAGAGGGGGGUAGAAUUCCAUGUGUAGCGGUGAAAUGCGUAGAGAUGUGGAGGAACACCGGUGGCGAAGGCGGGCCGCUGGGCCAAGACUGACGCUGAGGUGCGAAAGCUUGGGGAGCAAACGGG
RNAcentral lists this ribosomal RNA (253 nucleotides) under uncultured bacterium. RNAcentral describes it as "partial 16S ribosomal RNA". It matches the Rfam family "Bacterial small subunit ribosomal RNA", at positions 524 to 776 of the family's 1533-position model. The record is from RNAcentral.